UGCUUAUAACAAGCAAUAAAAUUGUGAAGUCCAAUAGACAAUCAAACAACAUAAGUUUUAUAACAAGCAAUAAUAAUAUGAAGUCCAAUAGACAAUCAAACGAUAUAAGUCAUCAUACCAUACAACAUAAAAGCCAAGUUAAACGAACUAUCAGGCGACAUAAGUGCCAUAUUAAACGACAUAUAUGUAUCGUUGGUUUUACAUUGAGACGACAUAGAGUCUAGUAAUUUUCCAACUUUAAUAACAUCAGAUGACAUUAAAUUGUCAACAUGUGAAUAUAUUUGUCGUUGUAGGUUCUGUAACUUGACGAUUAUUUGCAAUGUAUGGUUGUAUCACACUACAUCUAAUUCGACAAAUCAUUCAUUUUUUCUUCUUUCACUCGACAUUUAAAUGUUGUUGGAUUUUUAUUCAGAUGAAAUAAAGUUCAAAAACCUUCCAGACUUGUCAAAUUUCAGACGACAUAACAUAUGUCGUCUAAUCAAUACUCAGACGACAGUGGAGAACUGUCGUCUGAUUGAUGAUCAGAUGGCAGGGCCUCAGACGACAUAUAAUUUUUCUUCAUACGACAAUGCUCAACUGUCGUCUGAUGUUGUUUUUGGCAUAGUGACUACUCUAAUGCUAUCAAAGAGUACUGCUCUAAUGUCCAAAGUCAUCGCAACUCUCUUAAUAUCGAGAAUCUCUGUAAAUAAUAUUAUGUAUUCUAAGAAGCACCAACUAACAAAGAGUACUGCUUUAAUAUUUUUGAUUGUUUUGUACUCCCAGAUUAUGUACAAACUUGUUUUACAUAAAAUGAUUAGUUUCCUAAUAACAAGUAAUUAUUACUUCCUUGUGUAUAUGUGUUCUAGUGACAUCAGAGCAAAAAGGAUAAAACUAUAAUCUAUAUUAUUAUAUAUGGUGUACUAGUGUACUAAAAUUAGUCAUGUUUCAAUACUUUGAUCCAUUGGGAUCUUUCCGGUCUUAGUAAACCCUUAUCAUUGAUUUUUGUAAUACUCCUAGAUAUUUUUGUGAAUGUUCGAUUUUUAGUAUAACUAUCCAGUUGCAGUGACAUUUGAGAUACAUUUCCAUAUUAUGAGGCAUCAAAUUUAGUGAGCUUCACUAUAUAUAGCUCAUAUAUUGACACGACCCACCCCGAAUUUCACCCUGAAACCCAGAGUAAGUCGUGCGGGGACCACCUCCAAGGAAAAUUUACUGAAAAGAUUAAGAAAAUCUCCCUUGCAGAUGGACAACCCUAACUCGAAAAUUUCAAAUUACACUCUCAAUUUAUCACUUCUGAACAUCGCAUAAUAUACAAAAAUUCUAAAGUAUUCAGAGCUACUAAACACAAGCGGAAGCAAGAAAACACGAGUAGGUUGAACAGGUAACCUACUGACGAAAACUGGCAGAAAUGCGGGUGACUAUGCCUCGUCUCCUACUAGAUCCAACCUGAACUCUGCAGACUGGGCAAUUUAAAACGAAGGGCCCAGGGGAAAACAUUUAAUAACGUUAGAGUGAGUGGACAAAAAUAAAAUAAUAAAUAUAAUAUUUAUGUUUCCCCAAAUUAAUUUCUAAGGAAAAAUCGAAUGCAUGCCGCAAGCGAUAAAACUUUUAUCCCAUAAAAUAUCGAGCCUCUCAGACUCUAUAAUAUAUGUAUGUAUUUACACUCGUCCAUACUCCCUAUAUAAAUUCAUGGGUCUAUAUAGGGCUACUACGCUCGCGUCCAACGCUCACGUCACGUCUUAAUGCGGUGCUACAUUACGCCAUCAAGGUGGACAGACGGGUGUAUAAAUAUGUGUCCAUACCCCCUAUAUGAAUUAAACACUCAAAUAUGGCUACUACGCUUACGUCCAACGCUCACGUCACACCAUAAUGCGGCUAUAUGCUACGCCAUUAAGGUGGACAGACACAUAUGGCUAGCUAGCAUUUUCUAUACAUACUCUCUCAUAAAUACAUAUUUAUAUCCACCGAAAAUCCCAUUUUCGGUAUCUCUCCAAGAGAAGUAAAAAUCAUCAAAAAUUAAGAUGACGUCAAAAUACUCCACGACAUUAAUUAUUCAAUCGUGAACUUUAGCAUGCAUUUAUUUAAAAUAAACGUCCACUCACAAAUUAGGCCUAAGCCUGAUGUCGAUCUGGGGUCUCAUCUGCUCGAGCCUCCUCACGUCCUGUUCCAAAUAAAAUAUUAAUUUCCCAACCAAUAAUCUCAUAUUUAAUCAAAAUAGGCAAAAUUACCCGAGAGCCAUAAAUACGCUCAUCAUUGCCUAACUUCGAUGUUCUUACAUCGGAACGAUCCGAACUUAAAUAUCAUACUCCACAGUCGUAAAUAUAACCUCCUCAAAAUACGACUUAAAUCCUACGGCCGGAUUCUACAUUAAUUAACCGCCAAAAAUACCAAACUUCGGAAAAUCACAAACCUAUCCAAAUCUCAUCCAAAAAUUCCAUAAAUCACACCAAUAUACUCCUCUUAACAUUCCACAUUUAAAACCCUAAAAAUCUCCUAACCGGCAGCGGCGGCCGGCAGCCGUUUUCCGGCGACCUGCAAAUGCUACCAAAUUUUAACAGAAUCUUCCUCUCAAUCUCCUCUACAACUUUCAUGACUAACACAAACUCCAAUUCUAAGCCUAACCAUGUCGAUCGAACACAAACAACCAUAAAUCCUUAAAACUUUCAAUUAUACAAACCACCCUAACGAGAUCGAAUUUAGCCGAAACCUUUUGAGGGAUUACUCACCUAGAUGAGGGCUACAAGUUGAGCCAAAAAUCACGACCUAUGGUGGCCGGAAGACGGAGCUCCGGCGAAGGGACAGUCGGCGGUUCCAGCGGCUUUUCUUCUCUUCGGCGGCACCACCGGCUCGGACNNN
Molecule: long non-coding RNA, 2832 nt
Filed under: Fragaria vesca (wild strawberry)
Lineage: Eukaryota; Viridiplantae; Streptophyta; Magnoliopsida; Rosales; Rosaceae
Description: long non-coding RNA (FVES_LNC000942)
Source: RNAcentral